ACUGGGAGUUGAGGACACUGCCCAGACUCCUAUCGGGUAGGCUGCAGUCGAGAAUCAUUCGCAAUGGGCGAAAGCCUGACGAWGCCGACGCCGUGUGAGUGAUGAAGGCCUUUCGGUUGUAAAGCUCUUCGCUUGGAACAAGAGAGUG
This 148-nucleotide ribosomal RNA is filed under the name uncultured Chlamydiales bacterium. Its description in RNAcentral is "partial 16S ribosomal RNA". It matches the Rfam family "Bacterial small subunit ribosomal RNA", at positions 312 to 455 of the family's 1533-position model. Lineage: Bacteria; Pseudomonadati; Chlamydiota; Chlamydiia; Chlamydiales. The record is from RNAcentral.